Oryctolagus cuniculus (rabbit) is the source of this 8057-nucleotide non-coding RNA. NCBI's taxonomy places the organism in Eukaryota, Metazoa, Chordata, Mammalia, Lagomorpha, Leporidae. The record is from RefSeq and is a predicted model, not a curated record.
ACCUGGGCCAUCCUCCACUGCACUCCCUGGCCACAGCAGAGAGCUGGCCUGGAAGAGGGGCAACCGGGACAGAAUCCGGCGCCCCAACCGGGACUAGAACCCGGUGUGCCGGCGCCGCAAGGUGGAGGAUUAGCCUAUUGAGCCACGGCGCCGGCUCAAGAUGGGGAAGUUUUGAUGUUUACCUUUCACAAGGUGUUUUUUUGCCUGCUUAGGUGUGAAACCAAGGGAUGGGUGUGGCCCCAGAACAAGGAUUUCAGAACCCUUAGCUGAAUGACUUGGAGGGAGGGCAGGAUGAUCUGAGGCAGGUUGAGUAUGCCUGUAGUCCCACCCUUGCACUGGUGAGCUGGCAGGGAAGGACAAGGGGCCGGGAUCCCUGGAUAGAAGAAGGGAGAGAAAGGCAGGGUUCUGGAUAGAUGGUGGGGUUUGGGUUUCUCUCAAGCAUCAGCACUUUGAGGACAUGUUGCUUCUUUGUCUUGUGCUUCAGACAGAGCCAGUGAGACUCAAGCUGUGUUGAUAGGCCGCCCAAUUGCAUCAGAGCUGGGGAGCUGCUGGCUUCCUCCCUGCCUCUUCUGUGGCAGAGGCAGCUGCUGGCUUGGUGUGGCGUGUAUUACCUUAAUUACUACAGCUCCUCGGGGGAGUAUCCAGGCUCACUGAGGCAUGCAUACCUUGAUUGUAACUGUUGAAAUAGCUAGAAUACAGCUGGGGAUUAGGAGUGGGGGAUGUAGCUCCUGAAAUAGGAGGUGACCUACAAGCAGGCCCUGGCUGUUGGACUUAGGGGUGCAGGGUAGAUGUGGGUGUCAUCUGCUUUCCUUCACAGGAUGGUCAUGAGCAAUGAGUAUCUUUUCUUCUCCUAGAGCUUACCAAGCCUACUCUGAACAGGCGGUCAAGAUCAAAGGCUCAGCAGGAAGCUGCUUCUGCCAGUUGGGACAGAUUCUGCAAACAGCUGAUACUUCACAUCUUCAUGUGCCAUGGGGGAGGAAUUAUUGAUAGUAGACAUCAGGGCAGAACACCAGGGAUCAGCGCCAGGUUCACUGAGGGCAUAGGAUAGGCCCCACUGGUGUGGCAAACACUGAUGAUAAGUAACAGGGUGUUUGCUGUCCUCCCUCCAUCUCCCUUUAGGGUUACAGCACAAGCACUGAAAAAAAUGUCUGUUUGGAGCAAAUCUAUUAGCAGGUGGCUUUGUACAUUGAAUGUCUCAGAGAUUGAUGGCACCCAGGUGGGCUUCUGGACAUUUGGAAAUGCUGUCGGUCUGUCCCUGCCAAGCAGGGAGUGCCCUGUUCCAUUGCUUAUGGGCUGGGACCCUUGCUGCUCAUGGCUGAUGUGCUCCCACUCUGUCCACCAUUCGCUACCACACUUCUUUGGAGCAUCUUUCACUCCAGGACCUACAAGUGCUUCCCAGGGGUGGGGUCUGCCAUAGGGUUGCUCAGACCUGGAAGGGAAGCCAUGUUUCUCUCCAGCUGAGUGAGUUGAGCAGUCAGGGCUCUUCUGGCCUUUGGAUGUACCCCUCCCAACCCUGCUAGAAUACCUGGCAACAGACCUGAGCUCCCCUAUCUCGAACUUAGGUUGGUACAGGCCUCCCAAGCUAGUGUCUGCCUGAGCCUGAGAGAGGGAAGAAACCAGCUGGUUGUCACCCUGUAGUUUAGGCCUUUUUGGAUACCUUGAGGUGGCCCUGCCUGGAAACAGGAUCAGCCAGGAGAUUUUCUGAAGCCACUGGACCAGCUGCCCAACCCCUCACUGCUUUUUCUCCUUCUGUUCUUUUCCUAUUUCAGAUAUCCUUGAAAGAUAGCUGGGAUAAGAGUGAAGGAUUAGAUGCCUAGAGGCCUUGUAGCUCUGGCAACAAGUCCUACAGGGUAGUCCAGACCAGAGGCAGGUUGGCAGUUGGGCCCUGGGGGUGGGAAGCUGGUCAGACCCCUUGGUGGUUCAGGCAGUGGUUGAUGGUGAUAGUGCCACCAGAACCACCAUGGUCCCUGUGGAAGAGCUUGUUUUGUGUCCAAGGCCCUUUGCUUCCCUGCAGCGCCUCCCUGGGAAUUGCGCCCUCGGCCCUGUGGCCAACCAAGCCUGUGUUCCUUUCCUGUGAGUCUCUCCGCUCACCCCCAGGAGACCUGUAUGACCACAACACACCACAGCUGCUCCACAGCCUUGUGAGAUGCAGUGACUCACUCAGACUGGACAUUAUUGUUCCUAGGCAAUAGGGAUUACUUGUUGGUAGUGUCUUGCUUCCUUUUUCCAAAUACCUGUUCCCAUUUCUCUGUUAAAGAAGGUAAAAAUGCUGGACUUCACACUGUAGUUUUCAGAGCAAGUUAAGGUCUUUGAGGAAAGAGGUUUCAUCAACAGCAGAAGGGCCAGUUCUGAAACCUGAGUGUCAGUUCUGACAACACAGUCUCGGGUGUCCUCUGGCUGAGGGUGGGGCAAAGUGGAGACUAGUUAGUGUUCAAGCCCUUGCUUUCCUAGUGUUGGGCAGAGGGACGACCCUGUGUAGGGAGCCCAGCGAUGCAAAAAUACCAUGCCUGGGCCUCCUCUGUGGAAGGCUUGUGCACAUGCAAAUCUCAGAAUCCUAUGAGGUGUGCAGAGUCUCAGGCUUCUACAUUAUCAGGGUCGCUUGUCCUCCGACUUUCCUCGGAGGUUUAAAAGAAGCACAGUAGGAAGGAAGGAAAAUCAAAGCCAAUUCUCAGAGAGAAAGAGACCCCAAGUCCUGAGAGCUGAGGUUACACCAUUUUGUAGGACAGUGCCGCCCCUUUCUUAGCCUAGUUCAGGUGAAUGACAGUCUUGGGUGUCCAGUGGAGGAAGCCUGAUGUGUAUGUGGGUAGGUAGCCAGCCCUGCUAAAUGGGUCAGAUGCUAUCUGCACCAUACCCUGGGCAAUCCCAGCUAGACCCAUGCUGACUGCCCAGGGCCUCUCGUGGCCAUCAGGAAUGCACAGGUGUGACCCUGCUGGGGCGCCUCCCGUACAGGUGCUGACUAUAUGGUCCCUUUCCCUGCCCAUGACUUCAAGCUGACACCUGAGCUCUGUCCCAGUACAAGGCCUGGGUACCCCUAGGAGGCCAUACCCCACCUGUGACAGCCCCUGAUGUCAUCCUGCAGAGGUGGCUUUUUUAUCCUGCCUUACUAUGGCUUCCAUGCCUGCUACCAUGAAGAGAAGACUUGCACCCAGGGUACCAUCUGCCCCUUCUGCCUGCAGCCGUCAGAGACAUUGCCUUAGGAUUGUGCUGAUUCUGUUCCUUGGUUCCAGGAUUCGAAAAGCCAGGUUAAUAGCCAUAAAAGUGGCAUUUUCUGUUUGUUUAAUGAAAAUGUAUUUGGGGCCAGCAUUGUGGCAUCGUGGUAAAACUGCCACUUGCAAUGCCAGCAUCCCCUGUGGGUACUAGUUUGGGUCCCGGCUGCUCCACUUCCAAUUCAGCUCCCUGCUAAUGCACCUGGAAGGGAGCAGAAGAUGACCCAAGUUCUUGGGCCCCUACCACCUAUGUGGGAGUCCAAGUUGAAGCUCUUAGCUCCUUGCUCCUGGCUUUGGCCUGGCCCAGCCCUGGCUAUUGCAGCCAUUUGGGGAAUGACCAAUGGGUAGAAUAUUGAACUCUCUUUCUGUCUCUCCCUGUCUCUGUAACUCUGACUUUCAAAUAAAUAAAUCUUUAAAAAUAUUUAAAAAAAUCUCUUUGCUAGGCCGGCGCCGCCGCUCACUAGGCUAAUCCUCCGCCUUGUGGCGCCGGCACACCGGGUUCUAGUCCCGGUUGGGGCGCCGGAUUCUGUCCCGGUUGCCCCUCUUCCAGGCCAGCUCUCUGCUGUGGCCAGGGAGUGCAGUGGAGGAUGGCCCAGGUGCUUGGGCCCUGCACCCCAUGGGAGACCAGGAAAAGCACCUGGCUCCUGGCUCCUGCCACUGGAUCAGCGCGGUGCGCCAGCCGCAGCGCGCCGGCCGCGGCGGCCAUUGGAGGGUGAACCAACGGCAAAGGAAGACCUUUCUCUCUGUCUCUCUCUCUCACUGUCCACUCUGCCUGUCAAAAAAAAAAAAAAAAAUCUUUGCUUUCCUCUUUUCCUGUUAUCCUUUAUAGAUUUGUUCCAGGCAGUGGGUCUUGUUAGCCUUAAUUUUUUUUUCAAAAUUUAUUUUGUUUAUUUGAAAGUCAGAGUUUACAGAAAGAGAGAUCUUCCUUCUACUGAUUCACUUCCCAAAUGGCUGUAACAGCCAGGGCUGGGUAGGCUAAAGGAGCCUGGAACUCCAUUUGAGUCUCCCAUAUGUGUGGCAGUUGGGCCAUGUUUUGCUGCCUUCCAGCAGCAUUAGCAGAGAGCUGGAUUAGAAGUGGAGCACCUGGGUAUAAGCCAGUGCUUAUAUGGGAUGCCAGCAUUAUAGGUGUUAGCUUAACCCACUGUACCACAGUGCCAGCUCCACAUUUAUUUAUUUGAAAAGCAGAGUGACAGAGAGAGUUAGAGCAAGAAUGAGAGAGAGAGAUCUUGCACCUGCUGGUUCAUUCACUAAAUGGCCACAACAAUGUAGGCUGGGCCAGGCUGAAGCCAAGAGUCAAGAUUUCCAUCCAGGCCUUAUACAUGGGUGGCAGAGACUCAGGCACUUGCACCAUGAUCUGCUGCUUCCCUGGGUGUGCAUUAGCAGGAAGCUGGAUCAGAAGUGGAGUAACUGGGGCUGGUGGUGUGGUGCAGCAGGUUAAGCUGACAUCUGUAAUAUCGGAUUCCAUAUUGGAGUGCCAUUUCAAAUUCUGGCGGCUCCAUUUCUGAUCCAGUUCUCUGCUAAUGUACCUGGGAAAGAGGUAGAAGAUGGCUUAAGUGCUUGGUCUCCUAAGACUCAGAUGGAAUUCCUGGCUCCUGGCUUCAGCCAUGCUCAGCUCUGACCAUCCCAGCCGUUUAGAGAAUGAACCAAUGGAUGGAAGAAUUUUUUCUCUCCUUCUUUUUCUGUCACUGCCUUUCAAAUUAAUAAAAUAAACUCCCCAACGCCCACCCCCUCAAAAAAUGAGAGUAGCUGGGUCCUGAACCAACACUCCACUCCAGAAUGGAAUGUGCUGCACCACAACACCCACCCCUGUUUGUUGUUUUGUUUGUUUUCCAAUGAAUGACAUUUUUUAAAGGAUUUAUUUUAUUUACUUUAAAGAUGGAGUUACAGAGCAAGGGAGAAACAGAGAGAGAGAGGUCUUCCAUCCAUUGGUUCACUCCUACAUGGCCACAGUGGCCGUUGCUAGGCCAAUCUGAAGCCAGGAGCCUCUUCCAGGUCUCCCACGUGGGUGCAGGGGCUCAAGGGCUUCGGCCAUCUUCUACUGAUUUCCCAGGCCAUAGCAGAGAGCUGGAUCAGAUGUGGAGCAACUGGGACUCGAACUGGCACCCAUAUGGGAUGCCAGUACUGCAGGGUGGAGCUUUAACCCACUGUGCCACACUGCUGGUCCCCAAUGUUUGACAUUUUGGAGAGAGCAUUUGUCUGCUGGAUUUCUGAGGAGGGAUGGCUCUGUAUGAGUGACCCCCCUUGUGGAGCAGCACUGCCAUGAUGUCCCCCAUUGCACAGGGACUCUCUCCACAGCAACCCCAGAUUCAGGGAGCACCCUGGACGAGGUAGCGCACCCUUCUUCUGGAGCCAGCCUCAAGAAUCAAAGUCACUGGGCAUGGCUGUUGAACUGUGCCAGGUGCUGCCUCUCCAGGAAACAGGACAAGCCAGAGUAGAACAGGUCUGGGGCUGUCACUGGCAGGCCAUUCAAGCUGUUCAUUGGGAGUGGUGGGUAGUGACCAGCUCCCGUCUGCCUACCCCCUCAGGUUAGAAGUGCACAGGAAGUGUGAAGUGCGUGGGCUUGACCUCUGAGCUGGUGUUGGUGACAGUGCAGGAAGGGACUUUCAUUGGAGGCCCCACAAAGAUUUUCAUUAGUCCUCCUGUCAACCCUGAAAGAAGAAUUCUUCAAAGAGAACUUGGUAGGUGCCAAGAAUUGACAUGGUUGGGAUCAUACCUGUCUCCCCAACUCCAGAGUCCAGUGAUGACGGGGACCCAUUUGUUGGGAGAUGACUGGUUUAGUGGCCAGAACUCAGACUAGCUUUGUGAGUGAGGCAGGGUGUGUUGGUCAGGCUUGGGCUGGGACUAGCACCUAGUGGGCAGCCCCAACUCUACCCCCUUCCAGGUUUCUGGGUACACAUGCUGAAGGCAUGGUAUCUUUCCCCUCAGAGUAAGAGUCCUCUCCAUCCUUCACUGCCGUGGGUUUGGAGCCCUUGACAUGUCCUGACAGAUGGGAGUGACAUGGGCUGGAUUCCUAGAGCAGUCAUGCUGGAGUCCCUGGCACCCACCUCUAGAGCAUUACAACCCGGAUGGCAUCUGGGACUGCCAAGAUGAGGAGCUGUUUCCUCAGCCACCGUCUCACUUGUGUGACUGGGACUUCCCUUCUCAGUGAUGACGCAGGGGAAGUGAGUGAUACUGAAACAGGCACCUGGCGCCUGCUGCCUCCUGACCUGAAUGUGGAUGGGCUUCUCCUUGUGUCCCCAGCCUAUGAUAGGUGCCCAGCACAGCAGGGAAUGGGCUUUUCUGUGUGGGUGCCAGGCUGGCUGCCUGUCCGUUUUCUCUGGAGUGACGAGGCCCAUUCUCUUUGGAGAGGGAAGAAUGGUGAGUUGGGUGGUGCUCUAUCCGAGUAUUGUCCUCAUCCUGCAGCGUCAGCCGUCCUUCUGAGCCUGAGCUGGCUGGAAAUGACUCCUACAGGCCUCUCCCAGGCGGUGGUGCCUGCUUGUUCUCUUUUGACCUCACAACCCACUGGCCUCCCAGGCAGCCAUCUCUGGCCUUGCCAUACAGCAACAACUCUCACUUCCAGGCACAUCUCCAGCCUCACAUCAGGCCCACCCAGAGAGGCAUGACAGCCCAUGCUGUGAGGAAGAAGUGAGGAACGAGGUGUCAUGUAUUAAAGCUGAGGGUGGUGGGGCUGGAGGGGAGGGUCACCUAGAAGGGUCACCUACCUGCUGGACUCCGUUGUGGACCCCUUAGAGGACUUAGAACCAUAGAGUCAUCUGGAUUCAGCAGGUAUUUGUAUCCCCUGCCUGCUUCAUGGGUGAGGAAACUGAGACCCAGAGAAGUGAAAUGUCUUACUGAGGGCAGAGCCUUGUCUUCAGCCUGGUUGCAGGCCUCUUCCCAGGGCCCAGAAGUGACCUCACUGUCAGUCUCUGUAAGUGGGGGUGCAAUGCUAGGCAGAGCUGUUUUUCUUAAAAUAAUAAUGGUAACAAGACUCCCAGUCAGGCACAGAGUCGCCCACUAGCACGAUGUCAUGACGUGGGCUGACCCGUUGACAGCCUUGUACACCAGGCUUCCUGCAGCUCCUGACCACAUUUCCCCUUUCAGUAAACAUUUCCCCAGCACAUGCCAGCCACACGUUACGCAAGGAGGACACAAAGAUGCUUAAUGUCAUCCCUUUAGUCAGAGCACUUUGCUUCAAGGGAGAGAAACCUACCCCUAUCUAGCUUGGACCUUAACAGCAAGCGACAGAGGUGUGAGGUGCCAGGUCUUAGGGAACCUUAUUGCUGCCUAGGCCUCUCUCUCCCUCUCCCUCCCUCCCUCCCUCGCUCUCUCUCUCUCUCUCUCUGCCUCUCUCACCUUUUGUCUCUCUCUCUCUUUAAAGAUUUAUAUACUUAUUUAUUUGAAAGGCAGAGUUACAGAGAGGCAGAGGUAGAGAGAGAGAAAGAGGUCUUCAAUCCUAUAGUUCACUCCCCAAAUGGCUGCAAUGGCCAGAGCUGGGCUGAUCUGAACCCAGGAGCCAGGAGCUUCUUCUGGGUCUCCCAUGUGGGUUCAGGGGCCCAAGAACUUGGGCCAUCUUACUACUUUCCCAGGCCAUAGCAGAGAGCUGGUUUGGAAGUAGAGCAGUUGGGACUCGAACCGGUGCCCAUAUGGGAUACCGGCACUGCAGAAGGUGGCUUUACCCGCUACACCACAGCACUGGCCCCAUGCCUCUUCAUUUUAUAGAGAAGGGAACCAGGAUCUGUGGAGGUGAGUGACUACCUAGGACCUACCAUGUGGGAAGAGGGACAAUGCUGUGACUAGUCUGCGGAGGCCCUUAGUCAUACUGGCUAAGCUGGCACUCAUGGCUUCAGAUUAUCUCCUCUCUUUAAAAACAAA